Non-coding RNA from Parelaphostrongylus tenuis, 72 nucleotides. NCBI's taxonomy places the organism in Eukaryota, Metazoa, Nematoda, Chromadorea, Rhabditida, Metastrongylidae. The record is from the annotation of a GenBank genome assembly.
GCCUUGGUGGUACAGUAUUUAAGGCAUAUCUCGGGAAAGGGUGAGAUGCGGGUUCGAUUCCCGCACGAGGCU